AACGAACGCUGGCGGCAGGCUUAACACAUGCAAGUCGAACGGAUGUAGCAAUACAUUAGUGGCGCACGGGUGAGUAACGCGUGGGAACGUGCCCUUAGGUACGGAACAACAUCGGGAAACUGAUGCUAAUACCGUAUAAUAUCUUCGGAUCAAAGAUUUAUCGCCUAAGGAUCGGCCCGCGUUGGAUUAGGUAGUUGGUGAGGUAAUGGCUCACCAAGCCGACGAUCCAUAGCUGGUCUGAGAGGAUGAUCAGCCACACUGGGACUGAGACACGAGCCAGACUCCUACGGGAGGCAGCAGUGAGGAAUAUUGGACAAUGGAGGAAACUCUGAUCCAGCCAUGCCGCGUGAGUGAAGAAGGUCUUCGGAUUGUAAAGCUCUUUUACCCCUGACGAUAAUGACGGUAAGGGGAGAAAAAGCCACGGCUAACUUCGUGCCAGCAGCCGCGGUAA
Molecule: ribosomal RNA, 451 nt
Filed under: uncultured bacterium
Lineage: Bacteria
Description: partial 16S ribosomal RNA
Rfam family: Bacterial small subunit ribosomal RNA
Source: RNAcentral